AGUGAACGCUGGCGGUAGGCCUAACACAUGCAAGUCGAACGGCAGCACAGUAAGAGCUUGCUCUUACGGGUGGCGAGUGGCGGACGGGUGAGGAAUACAUCGGAAUCUACUUUUUCGUGGGGGAUAACGUAGGGAAACUUACGCUAAUACCGCAUACGACCUACGGGUGAAAGCAGGGGAUCUUCGGACCUUGCGCGAUUGAAUGAGCCGAUGUCGGAUUAGCUAGUUGGCGGGGUAAAGGCCCACCAAGGCGACGAUCCGUAGCUGGUCUGAGAGGAUGAUCAGCCACACUGGAACUGGGGCACGGUCCAGACUCCUACGGGAGGCAGCAGUGGGGAAUAUUGGACAAUGGGCGGAAGCCUUAUCCAGCCAUACCGCGUGGGUGAAGAAGGCCUUCGGGUUGUAAAGCCCUUUUGUUGGGAAAGAAAAGCAGCAGGUUAAUACCCCGCUGUUCUGACGGUACCCAAAGAAUAAGCACCGGCUAACUUCGUG
Molecule: ribosomal RNA, 492 nt
Filed under: uncultured bacterium
Lineage: Bacteria
Description: partial 16S ribosomal RNA
Rfam family: Bacterial small subunit ribosomal RNA
Source: RNAcentral